GGCCAAUAUCAGUUUUUGGGGUAGAGCNCCUCUNGGAAUGAUAGCUUCUUNNGGGAGUGUUGAUUAGUCACUUGUAUGACGAUCAUAUUAUCUCUACGANACUCAGGAGCUGCUGCAUUAUUAUCUAAGGAUAAUUAGUNGUAAU
RNAcentral lists this ribosomal RNA (145 nucleotides) under Saccharomycopsis capsularis. RNAcentral describes it as "partial 26S ribosomal RNA". Lineage: Eukaryota; Fungi; Ascomycota; Saccharomycetes; Ascoideales; Saccharomycopsidaceae. The record is from RNAcentral.